AUUGAACGCUGGCGGAAUGCUUUACACAUGCAAGUCGAACGGCAGCACGGGGCAACCUGGUGGCGAGUGGCGAACGGGUGAGUAAUACAUCGGAACGUGCCCAAUCGUGGGGGAUAACGUAGCGAAAGUUACGCUAAUACCGCAUACGAUCUACGGAUGAAAGCGGGGGAUCGCAAGACCUCGCGCGAAUGGAGCGGCCGAUGUCAGAUUAGGUAGUUGGUGGGGUAAAGGCUCACCAAGCCGACGAUCUGUAGCUGGUCUGAGAGGACGACCAGCCACACUGGGACUGAGACACGGCCCAGACUCCUACGGGAGGCAGCAGUGGGGAAUUUUGGACAAUGGGGGAAACCCUGAUCCAGCCAUGCCGCGUGCAGGAUGAAGGCCUCGGUUGUAAC
Molecule: ribosomal RNA, 395 nt
Filed under: uncultured bacterium
Lineage: Bacteria
Description: bacterial SSU rRNA
Rfam family: Bacterial small subunit ribosomal RNA
Source: RNAcentral